CCAUAAAAAAUAUAACGAAUUUUUGAAUUUCCAUUGUUCGACCGGUUCAGAGAAGCGAAGCGUCUUCAUAGCCGUUUGUUAGCAUUUUUUACAAAACGCAAGUUAUGUCCAGAUUUAGAUAAGUUUUCAAAUUGUUUUAACUAAUUAUUUGUAUGAAUUUUAAUACAGUUUUAUUAAGCUACAUGUUAUGAACAGUUACUGUAAAAAUGCGCGAAUAUGAUACCGCUAACACUUACUUAAUUACGAGUUAACAAAUGUGUUAAUUUAAAUUCACAUUUAGAUGGACUACCUACUUACUAAAGUAACGUUAAAAAAAUGUGAUGAGAAGGCAGUUUUAAUUUUUUUUUUUGUAAAGGAAUCUUUAAAUUUGUUGUAGGCACCAAUUUUAAGGGCCUGAAUAAUAUAAAGCUUCGUCGCUUACCUAAAUUAAAAUGCGUCGUGCUUGAAGAUUAUUUUACUUCACAAUAGGAUACGGAAGACAUUGAAACCGCGAACAAAACGGAAAUGGCUAUACGUAUAUCUCUAUCAUAGACAAGAAACGUUCAGAAAUUAGAUUGAAUAAUCAUUUUGUUUACCAAAAAAUUGAAUUUGUUGAAUAUAAAAAUAUACCUAGGUAUUAUUUAUAAACACACAGGAAGUGGUGAAGAGUGGGCUUUUAGAGGCCUGCCUUUUCUAAAUUUCUGACGUAAAAAGCUGUGUUGCAACCAAGUUUGAAUAAACGAUUUUUGAAAUCGG
This is a long non-coding RNA of Helicoverpa zea (corn earworm), 735 nucleotides long. RefSeq lists it as uncharacterized. The transcript has 2 exons. NCBI's taxonomy places the organism in Eukaryota, Metazoa, Arthropoda, Insecta, Lepidoptera, Noctuidae. The record is from RefSeq and is a predicted model, not a curated record.